GUGCCAGCCGCUGCGGUAAUACGUAGGUGGCAAGCGUUGUCCGGAUUUAUUGGGCGUAAAGCGAGCGCAGGCGGUUUCUUAAGUCUGAUGUGAAAGCCCCCGGCUCAACCGGGGAGGGUCAUUGGAAACUGGGAAACUUGAGUGCAGAAGAGGAAAGUGGAAUUCCAUGUGUAGCGGUGAAAUGCGUAGAUAUAUGGGAGGAACACCAGUGGCGAAGGCGGCUCUCUGGUCUGUAACUGACGCUGAGGCUCGAAAGCGUGGGGAGCAAACAGGAUUAGAUACCCUGGUAGUCCACGCCGUAAACGAUGAGUGCUAAGUGUUGGAGGUUUCCGCCCUUCAGUGCUGCAGCUAACGCAUUAAGCACUCCGCCUGGGGAGUACGACCGCAAGGUUGAAACUCAAAGGAAUUGACGGGGGCCCGCACAAGCGGUGGAGCAUGUGGUUUAAUCGAAGCAACGCGAAGACCUACAGGUCUUGACAUCCUUGACCUACUCUAGAGAUAGAGCUUCCCCUU
This 513-nucleotide ribosomal RNA is filed under the name uncultured Enterococcus sp. RNAcentral describes it as "bacterial SSU rRNA". It matches the Rfam family "Bacterial small subunit ribosomal RNA", at positions 505 to 1020 of the family's 1533-position model. Lineage: Bacteria; Bacillati; Bacillota; Bacilli; Lactobacillales; Enterococcaceae. The record is from RNAcentral.